AACAUGUUUCCUUAGAUCCACCUUUUGUGGUUGUCAAGUUUAUGCUGUGUUCUGCUAACAGCAAUUCAUUUUGCUUUAGUAGUUCCAGUCAACUGACAUCCAGCAACUUUUUGUUGUACAGUCAAAGGUGCUUGAGUCAUUGACAUGUGAGACUAAUAUACCUGCUAGUUGGUUUUCUUCCUGAUGGCAGUGGCUCAAACCCAUUUCCCACCUUCAGGGUUUAACCAAGUGCAGACACU
Pseudophryne corroboree (corroboree frog) is the source of this 239-nucleotide small nucleolar RNA. RefSeq annotates it as small nucleolar RNA SNORA53. The record is from RefSeq and is a predicted model, not a curated record. The transcript has a single exon. NCBI's taxonomy places the organism in Eukaryota, Metazoa, Chordata, Amphibia, Anura, Myobatrachidae.